Long non-coding RNA from Pyrus x bretschneideri (Chinese white pear), 2053 nucleotides. RefSeq lists it as uncharacterized. NCBI's taxonomy places the organism in Eukaryota, Viridiplantae, Streptophyta, Magnoliopsida, Rosales, Rosaceae. The record is from RefSeq and is a predicted model, not a curated record. The transcript has 8 exons.
CGGGUUCGGUGGUUUUCCCAGUGGACGUCCCGGCAUUUCUGACAGACACGCAUCGAUCUUCCGCACUGUGCACUUGGCUACGUCACCUCCACGUGACGGCCAGCAUGCCCUGAUCGCGGUUGGGGUGUGUCAAUCAUCCUCAACAGCACCGGUGCAACACUUUUCUUUGUUGAUCCAGAAAUUCCAGAAUUAAAUUCAUAUAAAUUAGUGUUUUCUGGCUCACCUCACCCUGUUACAAUACUCCCUCCCUCUAAUCAGGCAAGAGAAACUGAAGCUUUACAGACUGGAAAAAUGGUCACAAUUGAAGAGUUGGGCCCCUUAGACCCAGAUUUAUAUACGGCAUCAAUUAAGCGGUUUAACACCAUAUGAAUGGUGGUAUGCUGCUUGCCCUACAUGUGCCAAACGAAUGUACAAGGACCCAACAAUUGGUCAACUGAUGUGCCAAAAACAUACAAAUCAAUGCCAACUCCUUGAGGUACAAAGUGUUCGUGGUCCUUGAAGACGAAACAAAUGAGAUCAAUGCUCUCAUUAUCAGCAAAUCAGGCGAAAAGGUCUUUGGCAUGCCAUGCAAAAAUUUGGUUUACAAUCAAAGAUCAACAUAUUACAAGCAAUUGCCAAGUGAGUUUCUCAGACUUAUAGGCCAAAGGAAAAUUUUUCACCUCCGGUUUGGAAGCCGACAAAAUUUGUUGAAUUCAAAUGAUCUCCUUAUCUACAAUGUUUCUGAGGACACAAUGAUCCAACCAACAACACUGGAGUCUAUUAUCAAAGAAAUUGCAGUGUCUUUAGCAACAGUUUCAUUGUCCACUACAUCAGCUGAAAAAACCAGAGAAAUGCACAAGAGGAAAAGAGAUUCAAUCAGGAGAGCCCUUUUUAUAGAGGCUGAAAACAGUGAGACAGAGGAAGUCUCUGAAGCAGAUGUGUAGGAUUUUGAUCAGAUUCCAAUCAAAUUGUUAAAAAAAACAUCUUCUCCAACAAGCAUGAAAAAAGACCCUCCUCUACCAAAAAAAACUAGUUACUGCCAGAAGGAACAAACUUUUGCUGCUAUAGAAAAGAGUCUGAUCAUCUUUUGUUAAAACAACAGUGCUUCUCCAUAUUUUUUGCGUGUAAAUAGGCCACCAUAACAUUGAUACCCCUAUUUUUUGUGCACAUGAACAAUCUGACGUUUUCAAAUCUUUCACCUGCAACUGCUGAUGCUGAUCAACACCUAACAUGGCUACCAGAGGCAUCCUCGUGCAACGGAUACAAAAAUGGAGUGAUGAUAGCAGCAGCAAGCGAUGCCAUUUGGGGCAACAGAGCUGCGUGUGGAAGAAGAUGCUGAGUGACAUGCAUCGGAGCCACCAACCAAGAUGUUUGGGUUAAUAUUUGAAUAUUGGCUUAAUAGAAAGAAAGCCCAAAGGUGCUAAAAUAAGUUGCACUUGCCCGAAGCCCAACCUUGAAGCCUGAUGCGGAGUAAAAGCCUUCUCAGCCAAGACAUAAGCCACGUAUUUAUGAUUGAAGUGAUAAGUGAUAGAGACUAACCUACUAUCAGCCAAAAAGCACUUUCUAGUGGCACGACAAGUAAAAAGUUGAUGACUCAUUACCUUCCAAAAGCUCUCGACCAAGAACAAAGAUAAGAGUAGUCGGGCCAAACUACCUAUAAAAGGGAGAAGAGACAACAGAGAUACGGACAUUGAACCAAUCAAACAAACAACAUACAAACUCUACUUUCAAGCCGAAUUUGCAUCUAGAAAAGCUGAAACCAACUUAGAUUCAAUCUUUUUAGUCAUAGUCUCCUUAUAAAAGUUAUCUUUUGCCUAGUUUAAAAGCUCUGCUACCUUUCUUAGUGUUAUAGUAUCAAUUCUCUCGUGUAAAACGUACCAUCCGUCCCUUUUUAGAUCACAACCUUUGUAAACACAAAGAGAAGUGGCUGCAAGAGGUUCAAUCUUACCAGAUAAGGUGAAAUUUUACACUAGUCUCUUUGUUUGUCCUCUAAAUUAGUAGAUUUGUCGCCUAAAUGUAUUUUUCAGCAUGUAUGCAAAUUAUUUCCAAUUAUUUCUAAUUAUUUCCUACUUAA